GAUGAACGCUGGCGGCGUGCCUAAUACAUGCAAGUCGAGCGAACGGACGAGAAGCUUGCUUCUCUGAUGUUAGCGGCGGACGGGUGAGUAACACGUGGAUAACCUACCUAUAAGACUGGGAUAACUUCGGGAAACCGGAGCUAAUACCGGAUGAUAUUUUGAACCGCAUGGUUCAAAAGUGAAAGACGGUCUUGCUGUCUCUUAUAGAUGGAACCGCGCUGCAUUAGCUAGUUGGUAAGGUAACGGCUUACCAAGGCAACGAUGCAUAGCCGACCUGAGAGGGUGAUCGGCCACACUGGAACUGAGACACGGUCCAGACUCCUACGGGAGGCAGCAGUAGGGAAUCUGCCGCAAUGGGCGAAAGCCUGACGGAGCAACGCCGCGUGAGUGAUGAAGGUCUUCGGAUCGUAAAACUCUGUUAUUAGGGAAGAACAUAUGUGUAAGUAACUGUGCACAUCUUGACGGUACCUAAUCAGAAAGCCACGGCUAACUACGUG
Molecule: ribosomal RNA, 497 nt
Filed under: uncultured bacterium
Lineage: Bacteria
Description: partial 16S ribosomal RNA
Rfam family: Bacterial small subunit ribosomal RNA
Source: RNAcentral